Molecule: long non-coding RNA, 353 nt
Filed under: Salvia miltiorrhiza (redroot sage)
Lineage: Eukaryota; Viridiplantae; Streptophyta; Magnoliopsida; Lamiales; Lamiaceae
Description: long non-coding RNA (SMIL_LNC013609)
Source: RNAcentral
AUUAACAAGCAAAGACGUGCAAAAGCAGGUAAAGAGCAUAAGGGAUUAACAACCACGACAUGCAAAGAACAGUAAUAAAAGAAUUAAAAUUCUUCGUGACCCAUUCGUGGAAACCCAACAUCUAUUCUAUUUUAAAGAAAAAAUAAAAUAAAUAAAAAAAGGACAAUAAAAAGCCCAAAAACCGCCUAAACAGGCUCAAAAACUGAUCCAGCCCUUGAUUGGGCCCAAAACGCGCGGCCCAGCCGCCCAGGCCCGUCCAGCAGCUGCCCAAAUCCACGCUCCCAGCCACUCCAGGCCCAAAACCGCAAGCCCAAACCAUCUCUGGCCCAGAUCCGCGCUCAGGAUCCAUCGAC